Neopelma chrysocephalum (saffron-crested tyrant-manakin) is the source of this 1008-nucleotide long non-coding RNA. RefSeq lists it as uncharacterized. Lineage: Eukaryota; Metazoa; Chordata; Aves; Passeriformes; Pipridae. The transcript is spliced from 3 exons. The record is from RefSeq and is a predicted model, not a curated record.
GAAGAAAGUGUGGAACCCUCCUGGGAAGCAGAGCCUCUCUGGGGGUGAGAGAUCAGGACAACAAAGAAAAGGUAAGUGGGUUUUUUGCUCCAAAUGGAAAUGCAGAAAUUAUAAAGCAAAUGAAAAGUCUGCACACAGGUUUCCUGAACCGUGGAAAGACACAGCUCUGCAGGCAGCAGGAUGUUUUUGGUGGAACCAACUGACUCACUGCAUUGAUGGUUUCCUGGGCAGUUUUCCAGGUGAGGGGAUCAAAGUUUGCUCCUGGACCAACAAGAUGCUUCCUUCACGUCUUCUUUCACCCCUUUCAAUAUGAUGGAGCAAUGAAUUAAGGACAUGAGAGGUAACCACCGGUGUGCUGUGUCCUGGAGAGGAGGUGAUUUAUCUGGGGGAAAACAUGAUUAUUUCCCGUUGCCAUGCACUGCAGGUAAACAGAAAUAGGCGACCACAUUUGGAAAUGAGUACAGAAAUAUGUGAUAUAAUUGCAGUGAUUCAGAGGAUAAUGCUAAAGAGCCCCAUUGUGCUUGAAAUGGGGGCUCAAUUGCGGGCUCCAGGCCGGGUCACUGCACGGGGACAAAAUGAGUGUGAAGAGCCCCUUCAGCCCUAAUCAUCCCCCAGACAAAAAGGGCACCUUUUAUUCCUCCCCCUCCCCGCCCCAAGUGGAGGGGAAGGUUAGAUGGACUCUGCUCCUCCACAAAAGUGGGGUGUGCAGACAACAGAUGCAGCACUUCCUCUUCAAAUUCCAGGGUUAGUAAUGGAUGUACAAGGGGGUUUUAUAUGUAUAUGCUGUGAUAUUUGCUCUGGUUAAUGGACUGGGUUGGAGUACUUACUGGGCUAAGUUCAAACAAAAUAAAAUCAAAUUUCCAUUUAAUGAAGAGCCUCACAUUCAGCGCAGUAUUCAGUCAAAAAAAUUACUAAAAAUUAGAGCAUGUUUCUAGUACAAUUAACAUCAUUUGCACCCACAAUAAAAUAUUCAAUAACUGGCCAUUUUGCUUGUUGAGGAGGUGAAUA